UGGGGAAUAUUGCACAAUGGGGGGAAACCCUGAUGCAGCGACGCCGCGUGAGUGAGGAAGUAUUUCGGUAUGUAAAGCUCUAUCAGCAGGGAAGAAAAUGACGGUACCUGACUAAGAAGCCCCGGCUAACUACGUGCC
RNAcentral lists this ribosomal RNA (138 nucleotides) under uncultured bacterium. Its description in RNAcentral is "partial 16S ribosomal RNA". It matches the Rfam family "Bacterial small subunit ribosomal RNA", at positions 355 to 509 of the family's 1533-position model. The record is from RNAcentral.